RNAcentral lists this ribosomal RNA (507 nucleotides) under uncultured bacterium. RNAcentral's name for it is "partial 16S ribosomal RNA". It matches the Rfam family "Bacterial small subunit ribosomal RNA", at positions 28 to 546 of the family's 1533-position model. The record is from RNAcentral.
GACGAACGCUGGCGGCGUGCUUAACACAUGCAAGUCGAACGGAAAGGCCCUGCUUUUGUGGGGUGCUCGAGUGGCGAACGGGUGAGUAACACGUGAGUAACCUGCCCUUGACUUUGGGAUAACUUCAGGAAACUGGGGCUAAUACCGGAUAGGAGCUCCUGCUGCAUGGUGGGGGUUGGAAAGUUUCGGCGGUUGGGGAUGGACUCGCGGCUUAUCAGCUUGUUGGUGGGGUAGUGGCUUACCAAGGCUUUGACGGGUAGCCGGCCUGAGAGGGUGACCGGCCAAAGUGGGAGUGAGGUCCGGCCCAGACGCGUGGGGGAGGAGGAAGUGGGUGAUAUAGCGACGGGGGGGGAAGCGUGACGAAGCCACGGCGUGGGAGGGAUGACGGCCGUGGGUUUGUACUCCGCUGGCGCGGGGGACGAAGCGUGAGUUGCGGUAGUAGCUAGAGAACCCGCGGAUACCGAUGUGCCAGAAGCGGCGGUAAGAAUGAAGAGCACAGGGUUGACC